UAAACCUUUAGAGUUGCUGCUGGUUCUCUAGAGACAUGUGCACACUUGUCGUCUUUAUAUCUCCACUUGUGCACCUUUUGUAGACCUGGAUAUCUCUCUGAAUGCUGUCUAGCAUUGAGGUUUUGAGGAUUGACUUUACUGUCUCUCCUUACAUUUCCAGGCCUAUGUUUCUUCAUAUAACCCCAAUGUAUGUUAUAGAAUGUAAUACAAUGGGCCCUUGCGCCUAUAAAUCUAUACAACUUUCAGCAACGGAUCUCUUGGCUCUCGCAUCGAUGAAGAACGCAGCGAAAUGCGAUAAGUAAUGUGAAUUGCAGAAUUCAGUGAAUCAUCGAAUCUUUGAACGCACCUUGCGCUCCUUGGUAUUCCGAGGAGCAUGCCUGUUUGAGUGUCAUUAAUAUAUCAACCUCUUCAGCUUUUGCUUGUUGAGUGUUUGGAUGUGGGGGGUUUUUUUUGCUGGCCUCUUCCGAGGUCAGCUCCCCUGAAAUACAUUAGCAGAACAAUUUGUUGACUCGUUCAUUGGUGUGAUAACUAUCUACGCUAUUGACGUGAAGCAGUUCAGCUUAUAACAGUCCAUUUACUUGGACAAUUUCUAUUAAUGUGACCUCAAAUCAGGUAGGACUA
RNAcentral lists this ribosomal RNA (621 nucleotides) under Thaxterogaster porphyreus. RNAcentral describes it as "eukaryotic LSU rRNA". The stretch from base 238 to 391 matches the Rfam family "5.8S ribosomal RNA". The record is from RNAcentral. Lineage: Eukaryota; Fungi; Basidiomycota; Agaricomycetes; Agaricales; Cortinariaceae.